GUAUUGUUUAUGCUAUGUGUUUUUGCAGGAGGCCUGAGGUGGGCUGGGUUCUCCUCCUAUGGCAGGGCUUCACUCUCCUCCUCCUUCUCUGUUGGGGCUUCACUGUCCCUGGGAUAAGAAUAACAAUGCCAAGGUUUUCAUUCUUGAAAGGAGCAAUUAAGCGUCUCACCCCCUCCUCAUUUUAGAUGGGAACUGUGAGGGUCCCGUCAUUUACCCAGGGUCCCUGUUGAGGAUCUUGUCCUCAUUAGAUGACUUCUUGUGCAGCUUCCAUGCGUGAUUCUUUACUCUUGUGGCACUGAGAGGUUUGUACAUGUCUUUAAGCCAGAGCGGCUUUCUGAAUGAAAAAAGUCCAUCCUAGAAGAUAGAAAGGGAAAUAUUAAUUUUGCAUGUCCUCUGCUUUCCCUGGUCACAGCAAUGAAUCCUCCAAUGUACCUGACUCUCCCUUUGCGAAGAGCAUCUCCGUGGCAGAAAUCUGAAAAUGCCCCUGGGGAGACACAUGCACAAGACAGUUCGUGAGCCACACAUCUCCCCACACCAAGCUCCUCCAUACAAGACCUCGGACUGCAUCACGUAAAUGCUUUUUCAGGGGCAAAAUCUAGAGAAUCUGAAACGAGCUAUCAGCUUCCCAGUUUGCACAAUUCAUCAAGAAAUUAUGCGGGGUCACUGGCACAAAUGAUGAGGCAUCUCCUGGAAGCUUAACUUCUUAUCCAUCCCAUCUCUUGGACAGAUGAUGCCAGUUAAUUACUUUGAAUGGGUCUGUCACACGCAGCCCAACUCAACUGGAGUCCUGAGAAGGUGAACAGACCAGGAUGGAUGGCCAGGGAACUCACCAGAAGUCCCCAGGCAUCAGAACAAGGUCGAAGCAUCCUG
Molecule: long non-coding RNA, 870 nt
Filed under: Homo sapiens (human)
Lineage: Eukaryota; Metazoa; Chordata; Mammalia; Primates; Hominidae
Description: PREDICTED lncRNA (TCONS_00119281)
Source: RNAcentral